AAUAAAGUAAGCUAAAAUUUAAAAGCUAGUGGGUUCAUACCCCAAAAAUGAAUAAUUUUCCUUUAUUA
Molecule: transfer RNA, 68 nt
Filed under: Amblyomma cajennense (Cayenne tick)
Lineage: Eukaryota; Metazoa; Arthropoda; Arachnida; Ixodida; Ixodidae
Also listed under: 1 other name
Description: tRNA-Met
Source: RNAcentral